CGCCACAACGGCUUCCUCGCGUGGCGACGAAAACACCAACGGAGCG
This 46-nucleotide non-coding RNA is filed under the name Citreimonas salinaria. The record is from RNAcentral. Lineage: Bacteria; Pseudomonadati; Pseudomonadota; Alphaproteobacteria; Rhodobacterales; Roseobacteraceae.